Molecule: long non-coding RNA, 1054 nt
Organism: Callithrix jacchus (white-tufted-ear marmoset)
Lineage: Eukaryota; Metazoa; Chordata; Mammalia; Primates; Cebidae
Source: RefSeq, a predicted model, not a curated record
CCAAGUGCACACACAGAGGUAUUUUCAAGUGUGCCUGGUGGGGGGGCAUGCAUGGAACAUGACAUGCUGUCCUCUGCACAGCCUGUCCUUGACCCGGGGUGGCCAGCAGCCACUGUGAAGGGAGGGAGGGGCCGAGCAGAUGACUGACGGCCCACGGUAUCCACAGGAGCAUUUGGUUUCACUGCCAGGACAAAGUCAAAACAAAGAGGGAUUUUUCCAGGUUCCACCGGCCCUCCCCGGGCUACUCAUGCAGAGGACCCACCUUGGAGGGAAAACCACUGAAAAUCAUCAAGAUCUCAUCACACACUGAGGUCUGCACUCAGUUCUCAUCAGAAGCCCCUGGGACCAGCAGUACCUGCGGAGGCUCUGGAGAUCCCACUCCCAGGGGUGGGUUUUCUCCACCCCUUGAGGAUGUGCCCAGGGGAAGGCCUGAAGGGAAACAUGCAGGGUCAGGCUCCCAGCAGCCUCCCAGUUGGACAGAUAAGACGUGGACAAGUGCCUCAGCAGGAAACACCGGUCAAGAGGGUGGACGCAGGAGGAGCAGGGUGUGGCUGGUUGCACUGGGCAGGCUUCUGGCUGCUCCUGCGGUGCCUGAAGGAGGCUUGGAAGCAGGGCCCAGGGGAAGCCCGAGGCAGUUUUCUCCACAGGCACCUGGAUUACCUGCCUGGGAAGGAUGACAAGCCACCUCAGAGACCUUCUCACCCCACACCUCACUGUCGCCAGCAGAGGAAGGUGGCUGGCCAAGCUCACACCAUCACUAGCCAGUGAGGCCCGGCUCACACCAGCCUGUGGCUCCCAGAUGACUUUUAAAUAAGAAACGAACAGAAAUGCAAGAGGCUGACAGUGCACCGUGCCAAGAACAUCUUCAACGACAAUUUGCUGAAUAUUAAUGAACUGAAAAUGUCAUUUCUGGUCCAAUUACUACAAGUAAUUAGUUUUUUUUUAAUUAUGGAGGAAGUGGAAUUUUAAUAAGGUCAAUUUUACAAUUACAGUUUUAAAAAUACUAAUUGUAUUGUCAUCAUGUCUUAUAUAAUAAAUGACGUUGACUUGCUAA